Equus caballus (horse) is the source of this 897-nucleotide non-coding RNA. The record is from RefSeq and is a predicted model, not a curated record. Lineage: Eukaryota; Metazoa; Chordata; Mammalia; Perissodactyla; Equidae.
CUAGUUGUCAUGUUGGAAGCUGUCUUAUGGAGAGGCCCACAUGACCAGGAAGAGCAGCCCUCAGUCUAAGACCUCACAAACUGCUGGGGAAACCAGCUACCACGUCCUUGAAGACAUUCAGGGUUGCUGUAUGCAUGGAGGCAAGAAGACAUAAGUAUUGUCAACUAUCUGGAGGUCAAUGAGAAAGAGGCUCCUGUUUGUCCCAUCUCUUUCUGGAAAGACCAUUUGGAAUCCAGUGGAAGUCACUGGGAGGCAAACUUUGCUCAACGAAGGACAUUUUAAUUUACGGAUUUAUUGACAAUACCGGCUGCCCCACAGCAGACCUUUGUCUUCUGAUGUAGUGAAUCCCCCAUCUCCGGGACUGUUUAAGUAGAGGUUGUAGCUGUUGAGAAUAUGUAGAUAGAUUCCUACAUAGUGAGGAAGUGGGAGCAGGCAGUCUUUCCCAUGCUUUUCAAUUCUUAAGUGUGUAAUUUUGUAAUAAUUAAAGAACAGUUAUCCAGAAGGCCAGUCACUUGGAAUCUCUUUGCCACAAAGAGACGUGUUGACUAUGCUCGGAAUUGUGAAGGUUCUGUAGGAGGCAGAGGUUGAGGGGCUGUUCCACUUGUCCAGAAAGACAGGAAGAGAUGCAGGUUCAGUUAGACACAGAAACAGUUGGGAGCAUCAGUCAUGAGCAUUCUAGGAAGUGAAUUUGGGAAGGUUCUUCCCUUAGAGAUCUUUGCAGAGGGAAUAAAAAAUUAUCCCUCUGAGAAGGUCUGAACUUAACUAAGUCAGGGGUAAGCUGAUUUUAUAAAGUCCCUUCUGGUUCUCUGUUCUUUGGAUUAUAAUGACCAUCUGCUAUGGUUAAUUAACUAAAACUACCAAAACAAAAACGAAAACCAAAAAAAAAAAAAAAAAAAA